Paramuricea clavata is the source of this 79-nucleotide non-coding RNA. Lineage: Eukaryota; Metazoa; Cnidaria; Anthozoa; Malacalcyonacea; Plexauridae. The record is from the annotation of a GenBank genome assembly.
GACCAGUGUCGUAGCUCAGUUGGCAGAGCAUUGGGCUGGUGUUCCAUUAAGGCCAUAGGUUCGAUUCCCAUCGUGGUCA